RNAcentral lists this ribosomal RNA (564 nucleotides) under uncultured eukaryote. Its description in RNAcentral is "SSU rRNA". It matches the Rfam family "Eukaryotic small subunit ribosomal RNA", at positions 21 to 576 of the family's 1831-position model. The record is from RNAcentral.
CGGUCGGCCGCGUCGACAUAUGCUUUGCUCAAAGAUUAAGCCAUGCAUGUCUAAGUAUAAGCAAUUAUACCGUGAAACUGCGAAUGGCUCAUUAAAUCAGUUAUCGUUUAUUUGAUAGUACCUUACUACUUGGAUAACCGUGGUAAUUCUAGAGCUAAUACAUGCUGAAAACCCCAACUUCGGGAGGGGUGUAUUUAUUAGAUAAGAAACCAACGCCCUUCGGGGCUUCUUGGUGAUUCAUGAUAACUUCACGGAUCGCAUGGCCUUGCGCCGGCGACGGUUCAUUCAAAUUUCUGCCCUAUCAACUUUCGAUGGUAAGGUAUUGGCUUACCAUGGUUUCAACGGUAACGGGGAAUUAGGGUUCGAUUCCGGAGAGGGAGCCUGAGAAACGGCUACCACAUCCAAGGAAGGCAGCAGGCGCGCAAAUUACCCAAUCCCGACACGGGGAGGUAGUGACAAUAAAUACUGAUACAGGGCUCUUUUGGGUCUUGUAAUUGGAAUGAGUACAAUUUAAACCUCUUAACGAGGAACAAUUGGAGGGCAAGUCUGGUGUCGACGCGGCCG